Molecule: transfer RNA, 83 nt
Filed under: Candidatus Tayloriibacteriota bacterium
Lineage: Bacteria; Candidatus Tayloriibacteriota
Description: tRNA-Tyr
Rfam family: tRNA
About the family: Transfer RNA (tRNA) molecules are approximately 80 nucleotides in length.
Source: RNAcentral
GCGCCGGUCGCAUAGCGGCAAUUGCAUUGGACUGUAAAUCCAACGACCAUUGGUCUACGGUGGUUCGAGUCCACCCCGGCGCA